UAUCAUCACAAUGACUACACUUUUGUGAGUGUGCCUCGUGAAAAUCGUUCUUCUUCUUUUUCUUCUUCGUCUUCUUUUCCUCGAUUUUCAAUCAUCAGUCCUCUUAAAGAUGUCAAGUGUAAAACUACUCGACGGCGGUUUUUCAACGCAAUUAUCAACUCAUGUCGGUGAUAAAAUUGAUGGUGAUCCAUUAUGGACGGCAAAAUUUCUCGCUACCGAUCCAACAUCCGUUUUAUCAACGCAUUUAGAUUUUUUGCGUGCCGGUUCUGAUAUUAUUCAAACAAACACUUAUCAGGCAACAAUCACUGGCUUUGUCAAAUAUAUGAAUAUAUCGCGUUACGAGAGUCUUAAACUUAUUCAUGAUGCUGUGGAUCUUGCCAAACGUGCUGUGUCUAUAUUUACUGAAGAAAAUGAAUAUCAGAUAAAUCGAAAACCAUUGAUAGCGGGCUCAUGUGGACCAUAUGGAGCUGCACUUCACGACGCCUCAGAAUAUACUGGUGCCUAUGCAAAAACUGUAACCCAUGAAAAAUUAAUAAAUUGGCAUCGACCACGAAUUGAAACAUUAAUAAAUGCCGGUGUCGAUAUGCUUGCAUUGGAAACAAUUCCAUGUGCAACUGAGGCCAAUGCACUUAUUGAAUUAUUACGCAAUUACCCGGAGACAAAAGCUUGGCUUGCAUUUUCAUGUCGUGACGAUGGUGAAAAUUUAGCUGACGGUACAAAUUUCAAAGAAACAGCAAUACGCUGCUAUAAGCAAGCACUACCCGGACAAAUUCUUGCAAUUGGCGUCAAUUGUAUUGCACCAAAAUUUGUCACACCUCUACUUAGUAAUAUUAAUUCAAAAACGGCUAAUAAUGAUUUUAUACCACUUAUUGUCUAUCCAAAUAGUGGUGAAAAAUAUUCUGUACCCGAAGGUUGGCGCUUUGAAUGUAAUACAUUGCCACCGGAAAAAUUUAUACACGAAUGGCUCGAUCUUGGCGUUCGUUUUAUUGGCGGAUGCUGUCGAACAAAUGUAACAACAAUUAAAAAAAUUAAGGCACAAAUUGAUAAUUAUCAUGGGAAUAAGUAAGAAUUUUUUUUUUAGGAAAUAAAUUUUUCAUUAAAAAAGAAAAAAAAAGAAAGGAAAAUUAUGUUCGUAAGUUAACUACGCACUGUAUAAUUGAGUUGUUUUUCAAUAUUGAUAAAUUUUCCUGGUUCACGUUCAACAAACACGACAUCUUUAUCCAAAUCCACUUUAAAAGUGGCAUCAUUUGAUAAUUCCUUUUUGCCCUUCAUUGGACUCG
Leptopilina boulardi is the source of this 1280-nucleotide RNA transcript. It is a transcript of the gene named homocysteine S-methyltransferase YbgG-like, with no coding region annotated. NCBI's taxonomy places the organism in Eukaryota, Metazoa, Arthropoda, Insecta, Hymenoptera, Figitidae. The transcript has 3 exons. The record is from RefSeq and is a predicted model, not a curated record.